CAGUGAGAUACUAGAGGCACUGGAGCUAUGAGGUGUGGGGCUGCUCCGGGAGGGGUUUGAUGUGUUGCAUCAGACACAGGGGAGGAUAUGGCCUGCUCCGCACAGAACCAGGCCCGUUCAGAACCAGGCUCAUUCAGAACCAGGCCUGUUCAGAACCAGGCCCGUGCAGAACCAGGCUCGUUCAGAACCAGGCUCGUUCAGAACCAGGUCCGUCCAGAGCCAAGGGCCAAGUUUGUCGCUGGAGCCCACCUUCUUCUCCUCAGAGCUCCAUGGAGGACGACAAGCAAAAAGAUGAAAGAAAAGUGAAUGGUCGAAAUUAUCUAUUUGAAUAUGUUAAAACUUUGAAAAGACACACACACUAAUAAGAAACCAAGUUGUUCUUGAUGUUAAAAUACAUGUAGAGUUUGAGAAAAAAAAAUUCUGUAGAAAUUUAUCAAAUAUUGUAUUCUCAUAAUGUAUUUUAAAUUAACAGUUUUAUCUAUGGUAAUAGUGUGAAACAAAAUUCAAUGAGAGUCUUUAUGAAAAUGCGGAGAAAUGUUAAUUGCAAUAACAAAAAUCUAUAUAAACGGAAUAAUAUAAUUAACAUAAAAACAGUUUAAUCAAUUUGUAUUUAAAUCAAAUAAAUAUUUUGUAGAAGUAGUUA
This is a long non-coding RNA of Osmerus eperlanus (European smelt), 643 nucleotides long. RefSeq lists it as uncharacterized. Lineage: Eukaryota; Metazoa; Chordata; Actinopteri; Osmeriformes; Osmeridae. The record is from RefSeq and is a predicted model, not a curated record. The transcript is spliced from 3 exons.